CACGUAGGCGGAUAUUUAAGUCAGGGGUGAAAUCCCAGAGCUCAACUCUGGAACUGCCUUUGAUACUGGGUAUCUUGAGUAUGGAAGAGGUAAGUGGAAUUCCGAGUGUAGAGGUGAAACUCGUAGAUAUUUGGAGGAACACCAGUGGCGAAGGCGGCUUACUGGUCCAUUACUGACGCUGAGGUGCGAAAGCGUGGGGAGCAAACA
RNAcentral lists this ribosomal RNA (207 nucleotides) under uncultured bacterium. RNAcentral describes it as "partial 16S ribosomal RNA". It matches the Rfam family "Bacterial small subunit ribosomal RNA", at positions 568 to 774 of the family's 1533-position model. The record is from RNAcentral.